Molecule: ribosomal RNA, 429 nt
Filed under: Gemmatimonadota bacterium
Lineage: Bacteria; Pseudomonadati; Gemmatimonadota
Description: Gemmatimonadetes bacterium partial 16S ribosomal RNA
Rfam family: Bacterial small subunit ribosomal RNA
Source: RNAcentral
UAGGGAAUCUUCGGCAAUGGACGAAAGUCUGACCGAGCAACGCCGCGUGAGUGAAGAAGGUUUUCGGAUCGUAAAACUCUGUUGUUAGAGAAGAACAAGGACGUUAGUAACUGAACGUCCCCUGACGGUAUCUAACCAGAAAGCCACGGCUAACUACGUGCCAGCAGCCGCGGUAAUACGUAGGUGGCAAGCGUUGUCCGGAUUUAUUGGGCGUAAAGCGAGCGCAGGCGGUUUCUUAAGUCUGAUGUGAAAGCCCCCGGCUCAACCGGGGAGGGUCAUUGGAAACUGGGAGACUUGAGUGCAGAAGAGGAGAGUGGAAUUCCAUGUGUAGCGGUGAAAUGCGUAGAUAUAUGGAGGAACACCAGUGGCGAAGGCGGCUCUCUGGUCUGUAACUGACGCUGAGGCGCGAGAGCGUGGGGAGCAAACAGG